AACGGGAUUAUUCUUUAUAGCUUGCUAUAGAGAAUAGUUAGUGGCAGACGGGUGAGUAAUGCAUAGGAAUCUACCUAGUAGUAUGGGAUAGCCACUAGAAAUGGUGGGUAAUACUGUAUAAUCCCUGCGGGGGAAAGAUUUAUCGCUAUUAGAUGAGCCUAUGUUAGAUUAGCUAGUUGGUAGGGUAAAGGCCUACCAAGGCGAUGAUCUAUAGCUGGUCUGAGAGGAUGAUCAGCCACACUGGAACUGAGAUACGGUCCAGACUCCUACGGGAGGCAGCAGUGGGGAAUAUUGGACAAUGGGCGCAAGCCUGAUCCAGCUAUGCCGCGUGAGUGAGGAAGGCCUUAGGGUUGUAAAACUCUUUCAGUAGGGAAGAUAAUGACGGUACCUACAGAAGAAGUCCCGGCAAACUCCGUGCCAGCAGCCGCGGUAAUACGGAGGGGGCAAGCGUUGUUCGGAAUUAUUGGGCGUAAAGGGCAUGUAGGCGGUUCGGUAAGUUAAAGGUGAAAUGCCAGGGCUUAACCCUGGAGCUGCUUUUAAWCUGCC
RNAcentral lists this ribosomal RNA (546 nucleotides) under Anaplasma phagocytophilum. RNAcentral's name for it is "bacterial SSU rRNA". Lineage: Bacteria; Pseudomonadati; Pseudomonadota; Alphaproteobacteria; Rickettsiales; Anaplasmataceae. The record is from RNAcentral.